RNAcentral lists this ribosomal RNA (253 nucleotides) under uncultured bacterium. RNAcentral's name for it is "partial 16S ribosomal RNA". It matches the Rfam family "Bacterial small subunit ribosomal RNA", at positions 524 to 776 of the family's 1533-position model. The record is from RNAcentral.
UACGUAGGGACCAAGCGUUGCUCGGAUUUACUGGGCGUAAAGGGCGCGUAGGCGGCCCUACAAGUCACUUGUGAAAUCUCUGGGCUUAACUCAGAACGGCCAAGUGAAACUGUAGAGCUAGAGUGUGGAAGGGGCAAUCGGAAUUCUUGGUGUAGCGGUGAAAUGCGUAGAUAUCAAGAGGAACACCUGAGGUGAAGACGGGUUGCUGGGCCAACACUGACGCUGAGGCGCGAAAGCCAGGGGAGCAAACGGG